AUUUGUAUGAAAAGGCGAUUUCGCGCGGGUCCUCCUCUUUCGUCUUAACAUGCUGUCAAUACCUAAAACGCACACACUGUCUAAUUGUAUCGUAGUAAAUGAGAUAGCACUGUCGCAUGUUACUGGGCCUGGGCAAGGGAAUAAUAAGAAAACUCAUCA
Molecule: long non-coding RNA, 159 nt
Organism: Cydia amplana
Lineage: Eukaryota; Metazoa; Arthropoda; Insecta; Lepidoptera; Tortricidae
Exons: 2
Source: RefSeq, a predicted model, not a curated record